This is a small nuclear RNA of Zalophus californianus (California sea lion), 108 nucleotides long. The record is from Ensembl. NCBI's taxonomy places the organism in Eukaryota, Metazoa, Chordata, Mammalia, Carnivora, Otariidae.
GUGCUCCCUUCAGCAGCACAUACACUAAAAGUUGGAACGGUACAGAGAAGAUUAGGAUGGCCCCCGAGCCAGGGUGACGUGAAAAGUCAUGCAGUGUUCCGUAUUUUU